Cinara cedri is the source of this 457-nucleotide non-coding RNA. NCBI's taxonomy places the organism in Eukaryota, Metazoa, Arthropoda, Insecta, Hemiptera, Aphididae. The record is from the annotation of a GenBank genome assembly.
UAUUAAAAACAUUUAUCUUAACAACUUUGAUUGUGCCUAUAAGAUACGUAUACAUAUUUCUCGCGCGUAAAAAAAUUCCAUCGAGUGAAAAGUCGGUAUCUUUUAAGGUAUACGAUGCAAAUAAUUUGGAGCGUUUAUACUAACCGGAAAAACAGUUUCUCCGCUAUAAUCGGUAUUUAAAAUAUUAAAUAGCCGACAUUUUCCUAAUUAAAACACAGUCAGCAAACAAUGUUUGUUUGCGUCGCGGACCUGAUGGUAUCACUUAUUAAAAUUAUACGAUAUAAUAAGAUAUUUCUUGUUGUUGUGACAAAUUCGAAAUAUUUUUAAUUACACAGUUAUACCUAAAUAACACUCCCGAGGCAGAUACCUAUAUAAAUUCAAUAAUUUAUUUGAAAAUCAAACUGAUAACAUUUAAAAAAAAACAAGUUAUUCGAAAGAUUAAUCGCGUCAAUUUUUU